This 605-nucleotide ribosomal RNA is filed under the name Bacillus sp. CH144b. RNAcentral describes it as "bacterial SSU rRNA". It matches the Rfam family "Bacterial small subunit ribosomal RNA", at positions 60 to 649 of the family's 1533-position model. The record is from RNAcentral. Lineage: Bacteria; Bacillati; Bacillota; Bacilli; Caryophanales; Bacillaceae.
AGUCGAGCGAAAGAAGGGAGCUUGCUCCCGGAUGUUAGCGGCGGACGGGUGAGUAACACGUGGGUAACCUGCCUGUAAGACUGGGAUAACUCCGGGAAACCGGAGCUAAUACCGGAUAGUUCCUUGAACCGCAUGGUUCAAGGAUGAAAGACGGUUUCGGCUGUCACUUACAGAUGGACCCGCGGCGCAUUAGCUAGUUGGUGGGGUAAUGGCUCACCAAGGCGACGAUGCGUAGCCGACCUGAGAGGGUGAUCGGCCACACUGGGACUGAGACACGGCCCAGACUCCUACGGGAGGCAGCAGUAGGGAAUCUUCCGCAAUGGACGAAAGUCUGACGGAGCAACGCCGCGUGAGUGAUGAAGGUUUUCGGAUCGUAAAGCUCUGUUGUUAGGGAAGAACAAGUGCGAGAGUAACUGCUCGCACCUUGACGGUACCUAACCAGAAAGCCACGGCUAACUACGUGCCAGCAGCCGCGGUAAUACGUAGGUGGCAAGCGUUGUCCGGAAUUAUUGGGCGUAAAGGGCUCGCAGGCGGUUUCUUAAGUCUGAUGUGAAAGCCCCCGGCUCAACCGGGGAGGGUCAUUGGAAACUGGGAAACUUGAGUGC